AUACUUACCUGCCUGGGGAGAUACCAUGAUCUUGAAGGUGGUUUUCCCAAGGCAAGGCUUAGCCAUUGCACUCCGAAUGUGCCAAGCCCUGCGAUUUCCCCAAAUGCGGGGAACUCGACUGCAUAAUUUGUGGUAGUGGGGGGCUGCGUUCGCGCUCUCCCCUA
Molecule: small nuclear RNA, 164 nt
Organism: Microtus ochrogaster (prairie vole)
Lineage: Eukaryota; Metazoa; Chordata; Mammalia; Rodentia; Cricetidae
Gene: U1
Rfam family: U1 spliceosomal RNA
About the family: U1 is a small nuclear RNA (snRNA) component of the spliceosome (involved in pre-mRNA splicing).
Source: Ensembl